This 253-nucleotide ribosomal RNA is filed under the name uncultured bacterium. Its description in RNAcentral is "partial 16S ribosomal RNA". It matches the Rfam family "Bacterial small subunit ribosomal RNA", at positions 524 to 776 of the family's 1533-position model. The record is from RNAcentral.
UACGGGGGGGGCAAGCGUUGUUCGGAAUUACUGGGCGUAAAGGGCGCGUAGGCGGCUCUUCAAGUCAGCCGUGAAAUCUCCAGGCUUAACCUGGAAGGGUCGGUUGAUACUGUCGAGCUAGAGUGUAGAAGAGGCAACUGGAAUUCCGUGUGUAGCGGUGAAAUGCGUAGAUAUACGGAGGAACACCUGCGGCGAAGGCGGGUUGCUGGGCUAACACUGACGCUGAUGCGCGAAAGCCAGGGGAGCAAACGGG